UACGAAGGGGGCUAGCGUUGUUCGGAAUUACUGGGCGUAAAGCGCGCGCAGGCGGCCAUUCAAGUCAGGGGUGAAAGCCCAGAGCUCAACUCUGGAACUGCCCUUGAAACUGUAUGGCUUGAGUAUGAGAGAGGUGUGUGGAAUUCCCAGUGUAGAGGUGAAAUUCGUAGAUAUUGGGAAGAACACCGGUGGCGAAGGCGGCUCACUGGCUCAUUACUGACGCUCAGGCGCGACAGCGUGGGGAUCAAACAGG
RNAcentral lists this ribosomal RNA (253 nucleotides) under uncultured bacterium. Its description in RNAcentral is "partial 16S ribosomal RNA". It matches the Rfam family "Bacterial small subunit ribosomal RNA", at positions 524 to 776 of the family's 1533-position model. The record is from RNAcentral.